UACGUAGGGUGCAAGCGUUAAUCGGAAUUACUGGGCGUAAAGCGUGCGCAGGCGGUUUUGUAAGUCUGACGUGAAAUCCCCGGGCUCAACCUGGGAAUUGCGUUGGAGACUGCAAGGCUAGAAUCUGGCAGAGGGGGGUAGAAUUCCACGUGUAGCAGUGAAAUGCGUAGAGAUGUGGAGGAACACCGAUGGCGAAGGCAGCCCCCUGGGAUAACACUGACGCUCAUGCACGAAAGCGUGGGGAGCAAACAGG
This 253-nucleotide ribosomal RNA is filed under the name uncultured bacterium. RNAcentral's name for it is "partial 16S ribosomal RNA". It matches the Rfam family "Bacterial small subunit ribosomal RNA", at positions 524 to 776 of the family's 1533-position model. The record is from RNAcentral.